UGAUGACUCUUUCAUGCCUUCAAAGCCA
RNAcentral lists this non-coding RNA (28 nucleotides) under Mus musculus (house mouse). Lineage: Eukaryota; Metazoa; Chordata; Mammalia; Rodentia; Muridae. The record is from RNAcentral.